RNAcentral lists this long non-coding RNA (240 nucleotides) under Carica papaya (papaya). RNAcentral's name for it is "long non-coding RNA (CPAP_LNC008517)". The record is from RNAcentral. Lineage: Eukaryota; Viridiplantae; Streptophyta; Magnoliopsida; Brassicales; Caricaceae.
CAGGAAAUUGGGUCGCUGAUGAACAAGAUUGAGCUUCAACUUAUACUCGGCCCAUUAAAUAAUGAAUCCAAUGACGAUCCAUUUGUCUGUCUUCAAUUUUCUUUAACCUGCUCCUACUCUUAGUUAGUUUUCAUGUUUUUUUCUCGAGAAAACGUUAUUUUAGGCCAAAAAUAAAAUUGGAGUUGGACAUCCAAGAGUCUACAAUUUGAAAGAAACAAAAAAAGUGUAGCAAUCGUCUCU